RNAcentral lists this transfer RNA (78 nucleotides) under Vulcanisaeta distributa DSM 14429. RNAcentral describes it as "tRNA-Glu (CTC) (tRNA-Glu-CTC-1-1)". It matches the Rfam family "tRNA". From Rfam's summary of the family: Transfer RNA (tRNA) molecules are approximately 80 nucleotides in length. Lineage: Archaea; Thermoproteati; Thermoproteota; Thermoprotei; Thermoproteales; Thermoproteaceae. The record is from RNAcentral. RNAcentral also lists the same sequence under 6 other names.
GCCCCGGUCGUAUAGCCCGGUCAAGUAUGCGGGCCUCUCGAGCCCGUGACCCGGGUUCAAAUCCCGGCCGGGGCACCA